GGGUUGUGAGGUUAAGCGACUAAGCGUACACGGUGGAUGCCCUGGCAGUCAGAGGCGAUGAAGGACGUGCUAAUCUGCGAUAAGCGUCGGUAAGGUGAUAUGAACCGUUAUAACCGGCGAUUUCCGAAUGGGGAAACCCAGUGUGAUUCGUCACACUAUCAUUAACUGAAUCCAUAGGUUAAUGAGGCGAACCGGGGGAACUGAAACAUCUAAGUACCCCGAGGAAAAGAAAUCAACCGAGAUUCCCCAGUAGCGGCGAGCGAACGGGGAGCAGCCCAGAGCCUGAAUCAGUGUGUGUGUUAGUGGAAGCGUCUGGAAAGGCGCGCGAUACAGGGUGACAGCCCCGUACACAAAAAUGCACAUGCUGUGAGCUCGAUGAGUAGGGCGGGACACGUGGUAUCCUGUCUGAAUAUGGGGGACCAUCCUCCAAGGCUAAAUACUCCUGACUGACCGAUAGUGAACCAGUACCGUGAGGGAAAGGCGAAAAGAACCCCGGCGAGGGGAGUGAAAAAGAACCUGAAACCGUGUACGUACAAGCAGUGGGAGCACGCUUAGGCGUGUGACUGCGUACCUUUUGUAUAAUGGGUCAGCGACUUAUAUUCUGUAGCAAGGUUAACCGAAUAGGGGAGCCGAAGGGAAACCGAGUCUUAACUGGGCGUUAAGUUGCAGGGUAUAGACCCGAAACCCGGUGAUCUAGCCAUGGGCAGGUUGAAGGUUGGGUAACACUAACUGGAGGACCGAACCGACUAAUGUUGAAAAAUUAGCGGAUGACUUGUGGCUGGGGUGAAAGGCCAAUCAAACCGGGAGAUAGCUGGUUCUCCCCGAAAGCUAUUUAGGUAGCGCCUCGUGAAUUCAUCUCCGGGGUAGAGCACUGUUUCGGCAAGGGGGUCAUCCCGACUUACCAACCCGAUGCAAACUGCGAAUACCGGAGAAUGUUAUCACGGGAGACACACGGCGGGUGCUAACGUCCGUCGUGAAGAGGGAAACAACCCAGACCGCCAGCUAAGGUCCCAAAGUCAUGGUUAAGUGGGAAACGAUGUGGGAAGGCCCAGACAGCCAGGAUGUUGGCUUAGAAGCAGCCAUCAUUUAAAGAAAGCGUAAUAGCUCACUGGUCGAGUCGGCCUGCGCGGAAGAUGUAACGGGGCUAAACCAUGCACCGAAGCUGCGGCAGCGACGCUUAUGCGUUGUUGGGUAGGGGAGCGUUCUGUAAGCCUGUGAAGGUGUGCUGUGAGGCAUGCUGGAGGUAUCAGAAGUGCGAAUGCUGACAUAAGUAACGAUAAAGCGGGUGAAAAGCCCGCUCGCCGGAAGACCAAGGGUUCCUGUCCAACGUUAAUCGGGGCAGGGUGAGUCGACCCCUAAGGCGAGGCCGAAAGGCGUAGUCGAUGGGAAACAGGUUAAUAUUCCUGUACUUGGUGUUACUGCGAAGGGGGACGGAGAAGGCUAUGUUGGCCGGGCGACGGUUGUCCCGGUUUAAGCGUGUAGGCUGGUUUUCCAGGCAAAUCCGGAAAAUCAAGGCUGAGGCGUGAUGACGAGGCACUACGGUGCUGAAGCAACAAAUGCCCUGCUUCCAGGAAAAGCCUCUAAGCAUCAGGUAACAUCAAAUCGUACCCCAAACCGACACAGGUGGUCAGGUAGAGAAUACCAAGGCGCUUGAGAGAACUCGGGUGAAGGAACUAGGCAAAAUGGUGCCGUAACUUCGGGAGAAGGCACGCUGAUAUGUAGGUGAAGUCCCUCGCGGAUGGAGCUGAAAUCAGUCGAAGAUACCAGCUGGCUGCAACUGUUUAUUAAAAACACAGCACUGUGCAAACACGAAAGUGGACGUAUACGGUGUGACGCCUGCCCGGUGCCGGAAGGUUAAUUGAUGGGGUCAGCGCAAGCGAAGCUCUUGAUCGAAGCCCCGGUAAACGGCGGCCGUAACUAUAACGGUCCUAAGGUAGCGAAAUUCCUUGUCGGGUAAGUUCCGACCUGCACGAAUGGCGUAAUGAUGGCCAGGCUGUCUCCACCCGAGACUCAGUGAAAUUGAACUCGCUGUGAAGAUGCAGUGUACCCGCGGCAAGACGGAAAGACCCCGUGAACCUUUACUAUAGCUUGACACUGAACAUUGAGCCUUGAUGUGUAGGAUAGGUGGGAGGCUUAGAAGUGUGGACGCCAGUCUGCAUGGAGCCGACCUUGAAAUACCACCCUUUAAUGUUUGAUGUUCUAACGUUGACCCGUAAUCCGGGUUGCGGACAGUGUCUGGUGGGUAGUUUGACUGGGGCGGUCUCCUCCUAAAGAGUAACGGAGGAGCACGAAGGUUGGCUAAUCCUGGUCGGACAUCAGGAGGUUAGUGCAAUGGCAUAAGCCAGCUUGACUGCGAGCGUGACGGCGCGAGCAGGUGCGAAAGCAGGUCAUAGUGAUCCGGUGGUUCUGAAUGGAAGGGCCAUCGCUCAACGGAUAAAAGGUACUCCGGGGAUAACAGGCUGAUACCGCCCAAGAGUUCAUAUCGACGGCGGUGUUUGGCACCUCGAUGUCGGCUCAUCACAUCCUGGGGCUGAAGUAGGUCCCAAGGGUAUGGCUGUUCGCCAUUUAAAGUGGUACGCGAGCUGGGUUUAGAACGUCGUGAGACAGUUCGGUCCCUAUCUGCCGUGGGCGCUGGAGAACUGAGGGGGGCUGCUCCUAGUACGAGAGGACCGGAGUGGACGCAUCACUGGUGUUCGGGUUGUCAUGCCAAUGGCACUGCCCGGUAGCUAAAUGCGGAAGAGAUAAGUGCUGAAAGCAUCUAAGCACGAAACUUGCCCCGAGAUGAGUUCUCCCUGACUCCUUGAGAGUCCUGAAGGAACGUUGAAGACGACGACGUUGAUAGGCCGGGUGUGUAAGCGCAGCGAUGCGUUGAGCUAACCGGUACUAAUGAACCGUGAGGCUUAACCUUACAACGCCGAAGCUGUU
RNAcentral lists this ribosomal RNA (2925 nucleotides) under Escherichia coli. Its description in RNAcentral is "bacterial LSU rRNA". It matches the Rfam family "Bacterial large subunit ribosomal RNA". Lineage: Bacteria; Pseudomonadati; Pseudomonadota; Gammaproteobacteria; Enterobacterales; Enterobacteriaceae. The record is from RNAcentral.